This 207-nucleotide long non-coding RNA is filed under the name Phoenix dactylifera (date palm). Its description in RNAcentral is "long non-coding RNA (PDAC_LNC007684)". Lineage: Eukaryota; Viridiplantae; Streptophyta; Magnoliopsida; Arecales; Arecaceae. The record is from RNAcentral.
AGGGCAGGUGGUAGUACCAAAUGAUUUACAACUUUUCCUACUCUGCCAAAAAUCUCAAGGGAACUACCUAUCUAAAACUAAGCUUGCUACGAAUGCUAAUCCUCAUCAUACUCUUGGUUGGAGAGACCCAUAGAAAACAUGAUCCCCUACUUGUCCAGCUCCCUUCUUCUACUUUCUGCAUAACUUUUUUGCCUGUUUUGAAUUGUC